This 77-nucleotide transfer RNA is filed under the name Bacillota bacterium. RNAcentral's name for it is "Firmicutes bacterium (anaerobic digester metagenome) tRNA-Pro". It matches the Rfam family "tRNA". From Rfam's summary of the family: Transfer RNA (tRNA) molecules are approximately 80 nucleotides in length. The record is from RNAcentral. RNAcentral also lists the same sequence under 5 other names. Lineage: Bacteria; Bacillati; Bacillota.
CGGGGCGUGGCGCAGCUUGGUAGCGCGCUUGACUGGGGGUCAAGAGGCCGCAGGUUCAAAUCCUGUCGCUCCGACCA